Molecule: ribosomal RNA, 490 nt
Filed under: uncultured bacterium
Lineage: Bacteria
Description: partial 16S ribosomal RNA
Rfam family: Bacterial small subunit ribosomal RNA
Source: RNAcentral
AUUGAACGCUGGCGGCAGGCCUAACACAUGCAAGUCGAACGGUAACAGGAAGAAGCUUGCUUCUUUGCUGACGAGUGGCGGACGGGUGAGUAAUGUCUGGGAAACUGCCUGAUGGAGGGGGAUAACUACUGGAAACGGUAGCUAAUACCGCAUAACGUCGCAAGCCCAAAGAGGGGGACCUUCGGGCCUCUUGCCAUCGGCUGUGCCCAGAUGGGAUUAGCUAGUAGGUGGGGUAACGGCUCACCUAGGCGACGAUCCCUAGCUGGUCUGAGAGGAUGACCAGCCACACUGGAACUGAGACACGGUCCAGACUCCUACGGGAGGCAGCAGUGGGGAAUAUUGCACAAUGGGCGCAAGCCUGAUGCAGCCAUGCCGCGUGUAUGAAGAAGGCCUUCGGGUUGUAAAGUACUUUCAGCGGGGAGGAAGGGAGUAAAGUUAAUACCUUGACUCAUUGACGUUACCCGCAGAAGAAGCACCGGCUAACUCCGUG